UUGACGGGGGCCCGCACAAGCGGUGGAGCAUGUGGUUUAAUUCGACGCUACGCGAAGAACCUUACCUGGGCUUGACUUGCUGGUGGUAGGAGCCCGAAAGGGUAACGACCCGGAGCAAUCCGGGAGCCAGCAGAGGUGCUGCAUGGCUGUCGUCAGCUCGUGUCGUGAGAUGUUGGGUUAAGUCCCGCAACGAGCGCAACCCUUGCCCUUAGUUGCCAGCGGGUAAUGCCGGGCACUCUAAGGGGACUGCCUGGGAUAACCAGGAGGAAGGCGGGGAUGACGUCAAGUCAGCAUGGCCUUUAUGUCCAGGGCUACACACGUGCUACAAUGGGCGGUACAAAGGGAGGCAAAGCCGCGAGGUAGAGCUAAUCCCCAAAGCCGUCCUCAGUUCGGAUUGCAGGCUGCAACUCGCCUGCAUGAAGUCGGAAUCGCUAGUAAUCGCGGAUCAGCUACGCCGCGGUGGAUACGUUCUCGGGCCUUGUACACACCGCCCGUCACAUCACGAAAGCUGGUCUCGCCCGAAGUCGCUGAGCUAACCCGCAAGGGAGGCAGGCGCCGAAGGCGAGGUCGGUGAUUGGGGUG
RNAcentral lists this ribosomal RNA (582 nucleotides) under Aminicenantes bacterium clone OPS35B. RNAcentral describes it as "bacterial SSU rRNA". It matches the Rfam family "Bacterial small subunit ribosomal RNA", at positions 910 to 1482 of the family's 1533-position model. Lineage: Bacteria; Candidatus Aminicenantota. The record is from RNAcentral.